CGGAAAUCCGGUUACCGCCAUUUUACGGAGUCAUACGCACAGCGUGUUGGCUUAAGUACUUUCUCUGUGUGUUCGCAAGUAUCAUUUUUCAGAGCAAUACAUUGCGGUAGAGUAAUCCAAGAUGAGUUACGGCAGGCCUCCGCCAGACGUUGAGGGCAUGACUUCGUUAAAAGUCGACAAUCUAACGUACCGCACGUCUCCAGAAACGCUAAGGCGAGUUUUCGAAAAGUACGGUAGGGUCGGAGAUAUCUACAUACCGAGAGACCCAUACACGAAAGAGAGCCGUGGCUUCGCCUUCGUGCGUUUCCACGAUAAACGUGACGCAGAAGACGCGAUGGACGCUAUGGACGGUGCACUUUUGGACGGACGCGAACUGCGCGUGCAGAUGGCAAGAUACGGGCGUCCCCCGGAAUCUCACCAAAGCCGCCGCGGUCCCCCGCCGAGGAGAAGUGGAGGGUAUGGUGGUGGUCGGAGAAGCCGCAGCCGUAGUCCUCGGCGCAGGAGGCACAGCAGAUCCAGAAGCAGAAGUCGCUCCAAUUCCCGUAGUAGAUCUCGCUACAGCCGGUCCAGGUCCAAGUCCUACUCCCGGUCCCGUUCUAAAAGCCGCACACCACGCAGGAGCAAGUCCAAAUCACCUUCCAGGUCCCGUUCAAAGUCCAAGUCUAAGUCUAAAUCCAAGUCCAAAUCCAAGUCUAAGUCUCGCUCCAGGAGUCCCACUCCACGAUCAAACAAAGGGUCCAAAUCAAGAUCUAGAUCACCAAGCAGACCCAAGUCUCCAGAGGCUAAUGGAACUACGGCUGAAUCGUGAAAUUUAGCUGCUGAUUCCUGUUUGCAAAAGAGGAGUUUGGUGCAGUUUGAGAGCAGUUAGUGUGUGAUCCGUCCAUUGGCUGCCUGCUGCUGAUUGGCGGUUGCUAUGGAGCAGAUGACGUCACAUUGUAGAACCUUCACGGAUCACGUUGAAUGAUGUCGUCUGUUUGAGGAUUCCCAAAUAAUCCAUAUAUCAAACGAAAGGUUAAUGUGACUUGGUCUACUUUUGUUUUAAUGAAUUUUGCUUUUUGUUUAUGUAUCAUACUUCUGAAUUCCUUGUGAUAUUAAAUGAUCUUUAUGCUUAAAUGGGGCUAUUAGGUGAAAUCACUUCAUGUUUUGGUUUGCAUUUCAUUUCCUUAUGUUAUUGAAACUGCCAGACUACAGUAAGUUCAUUUUAAUCAAAAUGUAUUUGUCCCCUUAAUAAACAUUAAUGGACAACUUGGAAUGUUGUGCAAAUAUUUUCUUUGGGUUUAGAACGGUCGAUACUGGGUAGACUUUGUAAUACUCUUAACAUCUGUUGCUUACUGUGCAGGUAUUUUAUAGUUUAAAUGAACGUUCCACAGCAAAAUGAUUCUGAUAUUCUCCCUUGUGUAUUUUUAUGCACUAGGUGCAGUUGCAUAGCAGUUGAGUUUUGCUGGUUAGCUGUUAAGGUGAUGCGGUGCAGAGUGCUUGGCUGUUUCCAGUAUUCUCCUGUUUGCACCUUGAUUUAAGAUUGGCUACAGCAUUUUUUUUUCAGAAGUAAUCUAUUAUCAAAGCUUAUUGCAGAUUUUCGGAAGUCAUGCAAGAUUUACAUUUGAUUGCAUUUUUCAUUGUUUGAAAUUAGUCAGAAGUUUUGUGAAUGCCAAUAAAGGGUCUUUUUCUCAGAAUAAAACAUUUUAUUGCA
Molecule: RNA transcript, 1690 nt
Organism: Triplophysa dalaica
Lineage: Eukaryota; Metazoa; Chordata; Actinopteri; Cypriniformes; Nemacheilidae
Gene: srsf2a
Gene name: serine and arginine rich splicing factor 2a
Exons: 4
Source: RefSeq, a predicted model, not a curated record